RNAcentral lists this ribosomal RNA (503 nucleotides) under uncultured bacterium. RNAcentral describes it as "bacterial SSU rRNA". It matches the Rfam family "Bacterial small subunit ribosomal RNA", at positions 29 to 526 of the family's 1533-position model. The record is from RNAcentral.
AUUGAACGCUGGCGGAAUGCUUUACACAUGCAAGUCGAACGGCAGCACGGGGGCAACCCUGGUGGCGAGUGGCGAACGGGUGAGUAACACAUCGGAACGUGCCCAGUCGUGGGGGAUAACGUAGCGAAAGCUACGCUAAUACCGCAUACGAACUCUGGUUGAAAGCGGGGGACUCGCAAGGGCCUCGCGCGAUUGGAGCGGCCGAUGGCAGAUUAGGUAGUUGGUGGGGAAAGGCCUACCAAGCCGACGAUCUGUAGCUGGUCUGAGAGGACGACCAGCCACACUGGGACUGAGACACGGCCCAGACUCCUACGGGAGGCAGCAGUGGGGAAUUUUGGACAAUGGGCGCAAGCCUGAUCCAGCCAUUCCGCGUGCAGGAUGAAGGCCCUCGGGUUGUAAACUGCUUUUGUACGGAACGAAAGGCCUCUUCUAAUACAGGGGGCUCAUGACGGUACCGUAAGAAUAAGCACCGGCUAACUACGUGCCAGCAGCCGCCGCGGUAC